GACGAACGCUGGCGGCGUGGUUAACACAUGCAAGUCGAACGGAAAGGCCCUGCUUUUGUGGGGUGCUCGAGUGGCGAACGGGUGAGUAACACGUGAGUAACCUGCCCUUGACUUUGGGAUAACUUCAGGAAACUGGGGCUAAUACAGGAUAGGAGCUCCUGCUGCAUGGUGGGGGUUGGAAAGUUUCGGCGGUUGGGGAUGGACUCGCGGCUUAUCAGCUUGUUGGUGGGGCAGUGGCUUACCAAGGGUUUGACGGGUAGCCGGCCUGAGAGGGUGACCGGCCACAUUGGGACUAAGAGACGGCCCAGACGCCUACGGGAGGCGGCAGGGGGGAAUAUUGCACAGUGGUCGGAAGCCUGAUGCAGCAACGCCGCGGGCGGGAUGACGGCCUUCGGGUUGUAAACCGCUUUCGCCUGUGACGAAGCGUGAGUGACGGUAAUGGGUAAAGAAGCACCGGCUAACUACGUG
RNAcentral lists this ribosomal RNA (468 nucleotides) under uncultured bacterium. Its description in RNAcentral is "partial 16S ribosomal RNA". It matches the Rfam family "Bacterial small subunit ribosomal RNA", at positions 28 to 507 of the family's 1533-position model. The record is from RNAcentral.